Molecule: long non-coding RNA, 964 nt
Organism: Solanum tuberosum (potato)
Lineage: Eukaryota; Viridiplantae; Streptophyta; Magnoliopsida; Solanales; Solanaceae
Exons: 2
Source: RefSeq, a predicted model, not a curated record
UCUUCCAAAACAUGUUCUCUCUUCCAAAAGUCAUUUCUCAGGAGACUUCUCUUGAGACCUAACCCAUCUUCAUCAAGGUGACCAUCGUCUUGGAGAGCUUAUCAACGACUUUACCUUUUCAUUUCUUCUAGUUAAGAGUAUUGCACUAUGUGAGAGACUUGAGACUUGGGCAACAUCGGUACUGUUGAAGCACAUAAUACCAAAAUCGCUAACUUCUGAAGCACUAGGAGAAAUAGUUGCUUUCUUCUGAGGAUUUUCAGACUAGUGCAAGUUCAUUACUGCCAUAUAUAACUAUGUGAUUUUAAUACCUAAUUGCAAAUGGAGAACGAAAGAAAAUUUAUUAUCUAGUAUAUUUCCGUUCUCUGAAGCUCAAAAGAAAAAAAGAACAUGAAAAACAUUCUCUGCCUUGGGAAUAAGGACAGACUGGGAUAACUGGGUGCGGUCCAUGCUGUGGAUGGGCUUGUUUGAGAUUCAGGGCCAACAAUUCCCCAUGGCCUCUUCAGAGCUUUAUGGAGGUGGCUGAGGUGGGAGUGUUAGGUGUGGCAGGCAAUAAUAGUAAUUGCAGUUAUUCCUUCGUCUCUUCGCAGUUUCCACUUUGCAGGGUUGCUUAAUUUGGUAAUAUACUGAAUAUUUCUCCCCAUACCUUGGUUAUUGGAUGUGCAUCCCAGAACUUUGGAUUGUCGGGAACUACUCCUCUCAAGUGUGCGUUUAGGCUUAGAUUGAGCUAUUAUCACUAGAUGGUGGUGGUUGACUGGUUCCUAUGACAUUGGUGUAAUUCAUUCUCAUGUUUUUCUAGAGAAGUAUUGGUAUUACAUCCCAACAACCAUUUGAAUAACACACAAAUGUAAUUUGCAGGAUAUCUUUAUAUUUAUCUUGUAGCCUGUGUGAUUAAUUUAUUUCCGCAUGUUUUAAACCUGUGGGAAUUCAACCUGUUGGACUGUGGAAUCUUAUGAUACUUUGAUAA